AGCAGCCGCGGUAAUUCCAGCUCCAAUAGCGUAUAUUAAAGUUGUUGCAGUUAAAAAGCUCGUAGUUGAAUUUCGGGGUCAGUAGGUUGGUCAUGCCACUGGUAUGUACUGGUCUCACUGAUUCCUCCUUCCUGAUGAGCCGUAAUGCCAUUAAUUUGGUGUUGCGAGGAAUCUGGACUGUUACUUUGAAAAAUUAGAGUGUUUAAAGCAGGCUAACGCUUGAAUACAUUAGCAUGGAAUAAUGAAAUAGGACGUUCGAUCUUAUUUUGUUGGUUUCUAAGAUUGACGUAAUGAUUAAUAGGGAUAGUUGGGGGCAUUAGUAUUCAAUUGUCAGAGGUGAAAUUCUUGGAUUUAUUGAAGACUAACUACUGCGAAAGCAUUUGCCAAGGAUGUUUUCAUUAAUCAAGAACGAAAGUUAGGGGAUCGAAGACGAUCAGAUACCGUCGUAGUCUUAACCAUAAACUAUGCCGACUAGGGAUCGGAUGAUGUUAAUUUUUUAAUGACUCAUUC
Molecule: ribosomal RNA, 510 nt
Filed under: uncultured Glomus
Lineage: Eukaryota; Fungi; Glomeromycota; Glomeromycetes; Glomerales; Glomeraceae
Description: SSU rRNA
Rfam family: Eukaryotic small subunit ribosomal RNA
Source: RNAcentral